GAUUGAAAGCUGGCGCCUUCGGCGUCCGCAUUGUAAUCUCAAGAAGUGUUUUCCGCUUCGGACCAUGCCUAAGUCCCUUGGAAAAGGGCAUCAUAGAGGGUGAUAAUCCCGUACAUGGCAUGGAGCGCCCGAAGCUUUGUGAUACACUUUCGAAGAGUCGAGUUGUUUGGGAAUGCAGCUCAAAAUGGGUGGUAAAUUCCAUCUAAAGCUAAAUAUUGGCGAGAGACCGAUAGCGAACAAGUACCGUGAGGGAAAGAUGAAAAGCACCUUGGAAAGGGAGUUAAACAGUACGUGAAAUUGUUGGAAGGGAAACGCUUGAAGUCAGACUUGCUAUCUGGAGUUCAGCCGCAAGGUGUACUCUUCAGUUCGCAGGCCAGCAUCAGUUUUUCGGGGCAAAAAAGGGCCAGAGGAACGUAGCAACCCUCGGGUUGUGUUAUAGGCUUUGGCUGGAUUUGUCCUGGGGGACUGAGGAACGCAGCGUGCUUUUAGCGAGGCUCUCGAGCCUUUCACGCUUAGGAUGCUGGUGGAAUGGCUUUAAACGACCCGUCUU
This 550-nucleotide ribosomal RNA is filed under the name uncultured Rhodotorula. RNAcentral's name for it is "eukaryotic LSU rRNA". It matches the Rfam family "Eukaryotic large subunit ribosomal RNA", at positions 112 to 655 of the family's 3401-position model. Lineage: Eukaryota; Fungi; Basidiomycota. The record is from RNAcentral.